UUCCAGACUCCUACGGGAGGCAGCAGUGGGGAAUAUUGCACAAUGGGGGAAACCCUGAUGCAGCGACGCCGCGUGAGUGAAGAAGUAUUUCGGUAUGUAAAGCUCUAUCAGCAGGGAAGAUAAUGACGGUACCUGAGUAAGAAGCCCCGGCUAACUACGUGCCAGCAGCCGCGGUAAUACGUAGGGGGCAAGCGUUAUCCGGAUUUACUGGGUGUAAAGGGAGCGUAGACGGCAUGGCAAGUCUGAAGUGAAAGCCCGGGGCUCAACCGCGGGACUGCUUUGGAAACUGUUAAGCUGGAGUGCAGGAGAGGUAAGUGGAAUUCCUAGUGUAGCGGUGAAAUGCGUAGAUAUUAGGAGGAACACCAGUGGCGAAGGCGGCUUACUGGACUGUAACUGACGUUGAGGCUCGAAAGCGUGGGGAGCAAACAGGAUUAGAUACCCGGGUA
RNAcentral lists this ribosomal RNA (446 nucleotides) under uncultured bacterium. RNAcentral's name for it is "bacterial SSU rRNA". It matches the Rfam family "Bacterial small subunit ribosomal RNA", at positions 329 to 792 of the family's 1533-position model. The record is from RNAcentral.